This 398-nucleotide long non-coding RNA is filed under the name Homo sapiens (human). RNAcentral's name for it is "non-protein coding lnc-NUDT5-3:1". Lineage: Eukaryota; Metazoa; Chordata; Mammalia; Primates; Hominidae. The record is from RNAcentral.
GAGCGCUGGAGUUGGUGCUGGGAAACCCGGGGCUAAUGUUGACAACAGGCUCGAAUUGUCCUGGGUCACAUAAUGCCAGCUGAGCGUAAAAAGCCAGCAAGUAUGGAAGAAAAAGACUCUUUACCAAACAACAAGGAAAAAGACUGCAGUGAAAGGCGGACAGUGAGCAGCAAGGAGAGGCCAAAAGACGAUAUCAAGCUCACUGCCAAGAAGGAGGUCAGCAAGGCCCCUGAAGACAAGAAGAAGAGACUGGAAGAUGAUAAGAGAAAAAAGGAAGACAAGGAACGCAAGAAAAAAGACGAAGAAAAGGUGAAGGCAGAGGAAGAAUCAAAGAAAAAAGAAGAGGAAGAAAAAAAGAAACAUCAAGAGGAAGAGAGAAAGAAGCAAGAAGAGCAGGC